This 17551-nucleotide long non-coding RNA is filed under the name Equus asinus (donkey). RNAcentral's name for it is "lncRNA (ENSEASG00005028665.1)". The record is from RNAcentral. Lineage: Eukaryota; Metazoa; Chordata; Mammalia; Perissodactyla; Equidae.
GGGCGGGGCGGGGCGGGGCGGGGCGGGGCGCGAGAGGACAGAGGAGGCGGGGCCGCGCCCCUCCGUAGCCCGCGGGCGGAAGCGAGAGAGAAUGAGGAGGCAAGAGGGGAGCCGCGGCCGCGGGGAGGCUCGGGACGAGUGGGUUUGUUCCGGUUCUCCUUCCGCUGCAGACGUCCGGGGCCCAGGCCCGAAGCCGAGGGGGAAGGUACCCACACUGCACCAAAAGAUACCUGAGAGACCCAUGCAGCUGUACAUCUGAAGGUAGAUGGACUGGCUCCCUGGGAAGUGGUGGAGAUAGGGAAAAAGACAUCAUCAUCAAGCUGUUUUCAUCUAACAAGCUUCUUUCUGCUAAGCAGAUGUACAUGUGUGAGUUUUAGAAGGACCAUCUCAUGGUAUUUUGUAUGGAAGGAGAUGUUCUCGGGUGUGGAUUUAUGUCGAUUCAUGGUCAGAGCUAAGUCAGAUCAUUAAGAAAACAAGAUUGAAAGACUGCGACAAGGAAAUAUGGGGAAAGAAGUGCACGGAUGGACAUCUAUAGAUUGUGCCCAGAGUGUGAGAAUAACUGUGUCUCGUGAGGAAGCUUGACAAGGACUUCUGCAGAGGAGAUUCUCAAUAAUUAGGUGGACAAAAUGGCCUUUCCCCAGGGGUCUACGUGUUUGUUCAGUAGGCUCAUUUAAAAAGUCUCCAUAGUGGCCGAGAAGGAUAUUAUACAUAAGUUGAGCAUCAACUUCCCGCGCUGGGGCUGACUCACAACUGCACCUUCUGUGUGCCGAACAUACCUGCGGCCCUGACCCAGCCCGCAGCCCUGGAGCAGCAGCCAGCAUCUAGUGGCAGACUGGCUACAUAAGCUUCUUUCCCUCAUGGAGAAGGCAGCACUUUUUCCUCAUUGUAAAUAUAUAUUUACUGUGGAUAGAGGUUUACUUUCCCUGCAUGCUGAAUUUUUACCUGCAUCAUUAUCUGUAGUUCUACUAAUUGCCUAAUUCAUUUGUAAUGGUAUCCCAUUAGCCAUUGCUUCUGACCAGAGAAUUUGUCUAUCAGUGAAUGAAGUUAAAGCGCUGAGCUGAUGCUGUUGAUGAGCUUCACUCGUCUUACCAUGUAUCCCAUCACCCAGAAGUGGAUGGGCUUUUAGAAAGGUAGAUGGCCCUUUGGAGACCUAGUUAAGGUACCAGCUGGGAAACAACACUUUGUGAGGUUGUAAUGCCAUCAGUUAGGAUGAAGUAAAUGCAUAUCUUCCAUGGUCACAAUAUAUGGUUUCAGAAACCAGUGGAUGCGAAAUAGGAGUGACACCUCCCACUGAUAAACCUAAUGACCCACUCCCCAAAUUUUUGCUGCUUGUGCCUGUGACUUUUAACUCUGCUGGUCUCACAAUCUUAUUAUCCAGGGAGGAACGAGUCCAUCGGGAGACACCAAGUAGUUACAUGGAACAGGAGAUUGAGACUGACACCUGGUCUUUUUGGAUUUCUCAUGCCUUAUGUACAAGGGUGGCGAGGGCAGGGAGUGGGGUGGGGGGUGGGUGCAAUUACACGUAUUGGCUGAGGUGCUUGGUUUUGAUUUUAAAGGGUAAAUAGGAUUUCUUCCAUACAAACAAAGGCAAGGAGCAGUGUGUUCAGAACCUAGAGCAUCUUUUGCCUCCUACCACCACUAUGCCCAGUGGUAAAGCCAAUGGAAAACCUCAGGAGUCUUUAUGUCAGAGUCAAAAAGGCUCAGACCUUUUAGGGAGGAAGAUUUGGGUCGUCUCAUGAGGUAAGUGAUUCCAAUCAUUUAAGCUUCUGGCUUAGAGCAAAGGGAGCAUAGGAUAAGUAGUAGCAGAAGAAAAUUAUAAAUGCCAGGUACAGCCUCAUGGCCUAGAGUAGCUAUCAUUAUCUUCUUCUUUGCUCUGGUUUAUUUUUUUACCUUUCCCUUUUUAUUUGUGGUUAAAUUCACAAUUUUGUCCACAGAUUUCAGAAUAUCAGUACUGAGUUGUGACUUAACCAGAGGAGGAAAAAACAUUAGCCAAAGAUAAAUGAAGUUAUUGAUGAAAUUCUAUGUCUUGAAGGGAGAGAAUGAAUGUAACUUCUUUUGUACAAGAAAUAAUUGCAUUAUUAGAGACAGGAACAUGUUGUUGCAAUCUGUGGUUUGUAAUUUUGAGUGUGGGGAGAAGGAUGAAUGGAUGCUGAGUAGUGAGAGGGAUGAACAGUGACAGAUAUUACUGAUUGGCUUCUUCCGUACCUUUUCAAUCCAUUGUAGCAUGCCUUCCUGGGCUUUAGAAGCUGGAAAGCUAAAGACUAUAUUUCCAAGACUCGUUUGAAGUGUAGCAAGCUUGCUCAUGCUUUCUGCCAGGCAGAUGCACCCCUGCCAGACUUGCCAGGCAGAAUGAGCAUUGCGAGGCAGAAUGAGCAUUGCGAGGCAGACGCCACACAGUGCUUCUGGCAAGGACAAAUGGACAGGUUUAUGUACUUUUCUGCUGCAGCUGUUGUAGGGGUUGGAGUGACCAGAUCCUGGAUUUAUGAGUAUCAAGCAGCAGAUACUGGCAACAAGGAUGUAUCUGCUACAUAGUUCCCAUGAUGCGGUUGGGGCUUUCUCCUGGCUGUGUUGUCAAUGUGCAACAAGCAAGCUUGGUUCCUGGUGUUCCCAGACGUCCUGUAAACUAACCAGUACUCUGUAAUAAAUCCCUUUCUGUUUAAACUAGUGAGAGUGUACUCUGUUGUCUAAAAUUAGUACUUUAACUAUAUAUCUCUAAACUAGUCAAUGGGAAGGGGAAUAGGACUCUCUGAUUUGGGAGUGGGGGUGGAUGUUUGAGAAUCAGAUACAAUAACCCCCUCACCUCCCAUUCAGUCCUCAACCACUGAAAUUUGGCAUCUACCUUCUCUGCUACUGCUUUUGUUAAGAUCGCCAAGACUUCCCUGAUGGAACCUCCUGGCAGCAUUUGACCCUCUUGCCCACUUAACACUUUUAGCAAAAUCUCACUUCCUUUAGCUUCUGUAUAUACAAUCUUCUGGUUUCCCACUUUUUUCACUGUUUCCUCUCAGUAUUCUUUCAGGGACCUUCUGUCUCUGCUGAUGAUCAUUUAAAGAUGAGGAUUCCUCAGCGUUCUAUACGAAAUCUGCUUCUUUCCUCGCUCUGCAUAUUGUUCAGCGAUGAUUUUAGAUUUUCUCCACUCCCAUGGCUUUAAUUAUUGUUGUUGGUGCUGUUAAGUCGAUUUUGACUGCUGGCGACCCUAUGUACAGCAGAGCAGAACAGAACUCUGCCCAGUCUCUCUGCGCCGUCCUCUCACCUGCUGGCGCCGUGUCAGACAGUGCUCCACUGCUGUUCAUUGGGUUUCCAUGGCCGAUUUUUUGGAAAUGGGUGGCCAGGUCCUUCUUCCUUGUCUGUCUAGUCUAGAAGCUCUGCUGAAACCUGUCCACCACUGGUGACUCUGCCGGUAUUUGAAAUCCCAGUGGCAGAGCUUUCAGCAUCACAGCGACGCGCAGCCACCACAGUAUGACAACCGACAGAGGGGUGGUGAGGUUCCCUAGUUGGGAAACGAACUCAGGUGGCCCAGUGAUAGCACCAGAUCUUAACCACUGACCACCAGGCCUGGCUUUAAUUAAUUCCUAUAUAAUGCUGACUUCCAAAUUUAUUUCUUCAGGACAGUUCUCUCUCCUAAACACCAGCUACAUUCUGAAUAUCUCUGCUUCCGUGGCUCCUAAGGACUUUAAACACAGGAUAGACAAAACAGAACUCAUUAGUUUCCUCCUCUUACCUCAUCACAAUCCCUCAAACUAGCAAACUGCUUCUCAGUUAUGGGCCCAUUCCUGGUAAGUGGCAUUCCUGUCAACAAGAUUGUUCAAGCCAGAAGCUGGGUGCCACACUUCACUCGUUGCUCUCCUCUUCCUAGCCAACCAGUCUUCCAGUCUUCCCAUUUCUACUUCCCAAAUAUCGCUCAGUUCAUCUCUACUGCCUUAGUUUUAGAUACCAUCAAUUCCAACCUAGUUUACUGCAACAGCCUCUAACCAGUCUCUUCCUCCAAUCUUACCUCCUUCUAGUACAUUCCUCAAAUUGAAGACAGACUGAUACAUCCAGAACACAGGCGAAGUCAUGCUCUUUGCCUGUCCAUAGAAUAACAUCUUAACCCCCUUCACAGGGCUUGCAGAGUCUUCCAUGGGCCGACUUCUCUAGCAUCAUUUAGUGCACUCCUUGUUUCCUCUCCAGCACACGUUAUGUCCAGCCAUACUAAACUUCUCUCAGGUGCUAGAAUAUGCCAUGCUCUCUUUGGCCUGUGGAACAGCAUGCUAUUUCUGCUCUAAAGGAACUGAUAUCAACUUAGAUAUUAUUUUCUUCAGCAAGUCUUCCCCUUCUGGCUUGUUGCCCCUGCUUUUUUCUCCAACAGCAGGGAAAUGCCUUCUACUUCCCCAUAUUAAUACAUUUGCAACCUGCACUUGUAACUCUUGAUUACUUUUCUGUCCUUCCUGGAUACACCUAGCCCUGUCUAGGCAACAGCUAUGUCUAUUUUGUUCAUUAUCAGUGGCCCUGUCACCUAGCAGAGUACCUGGCAGUUAAAUUUUGUGAAAUGGGUAAACAGUUGACACAGUUAAUAAGGUAGUAUAUGAUAGGGGAGUAAUAAACAAUUAAUUAUUCAUUAGUUUACUGCCUUGUGACCAUAAUUGUCAAAGAUUUAGCUAAAAUGAAAAAGAGUUGCGUAAGUCUACAUCAUGGUCAAGCCUCUUUUCCUACAUCAGUGAUACCAGCAUUCUGUUUCUCUAGACUCUUACAAACUUAAAAAACAUGUUUUAUUGAGAUACAACUUGCAAUAAAAUGUAUAAUUCUUAAGUCUAAAGCGUGACUGAUCUUUUACGUACGCACACACGUGUGUGAUCGCUACUCGGAUCAAUGUGUAGAACACUUCCAGCGCCCAGAAGGCUCCCUCAGCCCGCCUUCCAGCCAGCCUCCUCUCAAAGGGCGCCACUUCCAACUCUUAGCACCACAGAUUUGUCUGCCUGAUUUUGAACUCUGCAUAAUGAAAUGGCUUCUUUUACUCCACAUCAUGUUGGUGAGUUUUGUUCUUUUUUGUUGCUGUAUUCGUUUGAUUGUAUGACUACCUUGUACUUUAUCCAUUCUGUUGUCAAAAGACAUUUGAGUUGUUUCAAGUUCGGGCUGUUAUGAACAUUCUUGUGUGUGUCUUUUGGUGGACAUGAGCACUGAUUUAUGCUGGAGGUAUAGACAGGAGAGGGUUUGCAGUAUCAUAGAGUAUGCAUAAGUUGAGCUUAAGUGGAUGUAUUAUCAAAUAUUUUACCAAAGUCAUUAUACCAACUUGUGCUCCCAUCAAUAAAUGUGUGAGUUCCAGCUUUCUACAUCCUUGAUGUUACUUCACAUUAUGUGCUACCAACUUAUAGAAAUUUACAUAAUCAUCUGAGAUGAAAACUGAAAUUACUGUAGUAGUAUAAAAGCACUCAAAAUAGGCUUCUUGAGCUAGUGUUCACAAAAGAAUGGCUAAUAAUUUAGUGAGCAUGCAGUGCUUGCCAGGCCUGCUCCUCUCUCUGUGUGGGCUACCUCAUUGAAUCAUCACUACAGCUCUGUGAGGUCGAUUCUCUUAUCCCCGCUGUAGGGAGGAGGGAUCUGUGGCAUAGGGGGACAUAGCACUCAAUCACAGACCUUUAAAGAACUGGAUGGGUUAAUGCCGCCCCUCACUGCUGACAAAAAAAGCCAGCCUAGAAAGCCGGCUGCAUCUUAUGAAAGGAAGGUCACCUGGUUUGUUAGAGGUCAAAUCUGGGUUGGAAUCCAGAUCUCCUAACUUCUCAUCUAGCAUGGAUAAUAAAUCAGUAGUGCACAAGCUAGAUAAAAUUAACAGUAAUCAAAACAAGCACAUUUUGAAAAAGUACUUCAUUCUCUUCAGAAUUUAGUUAUUAUGACUUCAGUUUGUGGAAUAGUUUCACAAAGUUCUAAAACGAUUUUGCAAAUAUCAAGGUCAUAGAAAAGUGUUCACAUUUUGUGAAGUCAAAAGCUUACAUAGUUGAGGGGGGAGGAUGGCUCAUUAAGAAAAAGAAUAUAAAAAAUCUUACUUUUACAAAAUGCUACAAAAACAUGUGAGCACAUUGCUGGGGACUGGGGGUAGCCAGCCUCCCUUCAUGAAGAUUUCCCCCAAUUAACCCUGUCUCCUGGUAUUCAUGCCCUUGUAUAAUUCCCCUUCCAUAUUGUAUUGGGAUUGGUCUGUGAGACCAAUAAAAUACAGUAGAAGUGAUGUUACUUUAGAAGCUAGGUUAUAAAAGACAUUAUGACUUCUUCUUUCUCUCUUGGAUCAUUCACUUUGGGGACCCCAGCUACCAUGUUGUGAGAACCUUUGGACAGCUCUGUAAUGAAGUCAGUAGUGAGAAACUUGAGGCCUCCAGCCCACAGCCAUGUGAGUGAGCCAUUUUGAGAGUGGAUCGUCCAGUCCUGGUCAAGCCUUUAAAUAACUACAGCCUUGACUACAACCUCAUGAAAUAUUCUGAGCCAGAACUACCCAAAGAAGCCACUCCCAGAUUCCAGACUCACAUACUGUGUGAGAUAAUAAGGUUAUUCUUUUAAGCUAAUAAGUUUUGGAGUAAGUUGUUAUACAGAAGUUGGUGACUAAUACAGGUCCCUCACAGGGCCUUGGAAGAGGCCUAGAAGUUUGAGUUUCAUAAGGUUUUUGGAAAUUAUCUCUGCCUAUGUUAAUGGCUAAGUCUACUAGAUUUUUGUGGCAAAGACAGCUAGUUUUCCACCAACAUUUGUUCUUUGUUUCUUCCACAGAGGCUGUAACUAGGUCAUGCCUGUCCAGCCACGAGCCACAAUGGCCAGCCUCCUUUGCAGCUAAGUGUUUGCUUCAUGUGGCUCAGCUCUGGUUCGUGGAGUGCAGCAGAAGGGCACUUCUGAACCGCCUUUCCAGAGGACAGUGUGACGCUCCUUUCCCCAUCCUUGUGGCCAGGAUGCUGACAAGCAGAGUAACCUUGGCAGCCACAUGUUGCAGAUGGCACAGACUGUGUCUGGGCCGGAUCCCUGAAUGACUUCAUGGAGCAGAGCCUCUACUCCUCCAGGCCAGAACACCCCCUGAGCCAUUUCGUUAGAGAGAAAUAAGCUUUUAGUGACUGUCUUUUAAGGUCUAUAUAUUAAAACAAGUGAGCCUACCCUAACUAAUUAGUUAGUUCUUCAAAAUUUAGAUACUUAAUUUUUUACCCAGGGUCUAGUCUUGGUGUUAUUUACUUCUAUAUUUGUUUGGUAAUUUAUCAACUUUUUGUUCUGCAAAAUUUCAGACAUACAAAAGUAGAGGAAAUGAUAUAAUGAAGUCUUAUGUACCUAUGACUAAACCUCAACAUUUGUGUUAUAAGGCCUUUCCUAUUUCCUACGUGUAUGCCAUUUCCUACAUAUUUAUGGCCAUACCUCUGUCAUCGGUACCCUCUUUCCUCUCUGCCCCGUUCUGGAUUAUUUUAAAGCAAAUUUCAGAAUCUCAAACAUCAUUCAUUUCAUUGGAGACUUUUAAAUGCCACAAGAAACCUCCUCCAACCUCCCUGGAACUCAAGUGUUAUUGUGAAACUGUGGCUAUGAAAACGGGCCGUUCCCAUUGUGUUACAACGUAUGAUGAAGACAAUGCAAGCUGAAAGGUUAGGCUCACCUGCCGGUGCGAGAGGCACACCCUAUCCCCAGAACAUACCAGAAUCUACCUUCACCCCAUUCAAGGUGGAAGCUUGGAGCUUAUAAAGGAGACCUGGCAGUACCAGGCAGUCUGAGAAUAUGGGGCGACCAGCAGUGGGUCAAGAAUUGAAGCCAGAUAACUUGGGUUCUAAAUAUCUAAACUUCGCUCAGCUACUUACUAGUUGUAUGCUCUGCAACCAUUCACUUAAUUAUUCAGAUCCUCAGGUUUUCUCAUUUAUAAGAUGGAAAUAAUACCUAUUCCAUCACUGGAUCUGUAUGUUAAAAUUAGCUAAGAUUUUUAAAAUUAUGAACUUUAUAUGAUGAUCAGUUUAUAACUUGGAAGUAAAUAUAAGCUAAGAUUUUAAUUCUUAUUUAAUGUUUUCCUCUAGAGUAGCAUUUAUAGUCUACAGGAAUCUAUUAAAAUCAGUGUUAUUGGUGGCAGUGAUUAUUUUUUCUAAUGAGUUUUUGGAUCUAAAUCAGCAGCACCAUCCAUGAAAGGGAAAAUGAUGCUGCAGUUUGCUUAUUUCAAACAUCUUUAAUCUGAGAAAAGUGGACAGUACCAUAGUGAGCUCCUGCAGGGCCAAAGAGCGAAUAGACUCUUAACUCAAGUUUUCCCUCAGGAGGUUAGCUUCUCCCCCCCUUCACCAGCAUCCAGUUUGACCCAGCCAGUUCUGCAUAAGCUGGGAUAUGGAGAUUUCCAGAUCUUAAUGACUUCCCUCAUACAUCAAAAUGUCUCUUUCUGCAUUACUGAGCUCAGUUCCAACUGGGUCACAGCGUUGAGCAAGGUAGACUUAAAAAGGACGUACAAUAAUUCAUGUGAAAUGUAAGCAAGACAUUUUCCUCCUCCCCUGCUGGAUCUGCAUGCAAUGUUUCCCCUUCUGGUUUCUGUUUUUUAGGUACAUUAUAAGUACCUGGUAAGUUAGAACCUUUUAACUUUUUAACUUUCAAUUUUAGAAUAGUUUUAGGUUUACAAGAAAGUUGCAAAGAUAGUGCAGAGUUCCCGUCUGCCCCUCACCUGGUUUCCCCUACUGUUAGCAUCUUACAUUGCCAGGCUACAUUUGUCACGCCUAAGAAACUAACACUGGUAUGUUGCUAUUAACUAAACUCCAGACAUUAUUCCGAUUUCACUAGUUUUUCCACUAAUGUCCUUUGUCUGCUCCAGGGUCCCAUCCAGGACACCACAUUACAUUUAGUUAUUGUGUCUCCUUAGCCUCCUCUGAUUUGUGACAACUUUUUAGCCUUUCCUCAUUUUUAAGGACCUUGACAGCUUUAAGGAGUACUGGUCAGGUAUUUUAUACGAUGCUUCUCAAUUUGAUUUUUUUCUCUAGUUAGAUUGGGGUUAUGGGAUGGAGAGGCUGACCACAGAGUUGAGGUCACCUUCUCAUCACACCGUGUGUCAGGGAGGUGUGCUGUCAAUAUGACAUCACUGGUUCUGUUGACCUUGAUCACCUAGCCUAGGGAGGGUUUCCAGGUUUCUUCACUGUGAAGUAACUUACCCCUUUCCCAUGCUCUAUUCUUUAGAAGCGAUGACUGAGCUCAGCCCAUAAUCAAGGAGGCAAGAGGGAUAAAGCUCCCAAAACAAACCUGGAAGAAUUUGAGAGCAAAAAUAAUGCAAUAUGAAAUUAUAACCCAAAGUAUAAAAUAAAUGUCCAGGACUCCAUACUCAUAUAAAUAAAUGACUAAAAAAAUGAACAAAGGAGAAGAGACAAAUCUUCCUUCUAUUAGAAUUCCAAAUUAAAGCAUUUUGUUACACAGCCUAUUCUGUUUUUACUUUAAAAGUACUAAUAGACUUUAUUGUUAAGAGCAGUUUUAGGUUUGCAGAAAAAUGGAACAGAAAAUACAGAAAGAUCCUACAUAUGACUCCCACCCCCGUUUCCCUUAUUGUUAACAUAUUGCAUCAGUGAUUAACUUUUGAACUUUCAGCUGUCUUAGAAAUGAAAAAUGGAACAGUGCUGUGUGGUAAGAGUCUUUGGACUCUCAGUGAAUAACAGUACUUUCCUAUGAAUGGAAAUAGGCAUCUUGGAAUAUGAAGACAGAUACCACGAGACUCCAAACUCUGUUAUACCAACAGGGGCUAGAUCAUUUAAAAUUUUCUUUUCUGGGAGCUAGCCCCGUGGCCGAGUGGUUAAGUUCGCGUGCUCUGCUUCAAUGGCCCAGGGUUUCUCUGGUUCGGAUCCUGGGUGCGGACAUGGCACUGCUCGUCAGGCCACAGUGAGGCAGCAUCCCACAUGCCACAACCAGAAGAACCCACAACUAAAAUAUACAACUAUGUACUGGGCUUGGGGAGAAAAAGCAGGGGAAAAAAAAGAAGAUUGGUAACAGCUGUUUGCUCAGGUACCAAUCUUUAGGAAAAAAAAAUUUUUUUAAUUUUCUGAUUUUAAAACUCUUAACUCAUCUUCAAAGCAAAAAAAGAGUAGAUGUCAUUACAAAUAUCAUAGCAAGGUUGCAAGCUCUGUGAUUUUAUACUUGUGAGAACUAGUUUCAAAGUGGGUUCUCAAUUCAGUUCUUUGAAUUAAAUUGAAAAGGAAAAGUGCAUCUGAGAGGAGCGGUCAGCAUCUGAAGAGAUGAUGAAGUUCGCAUGGUGGCUGCCAUGUGAAGAUGCUGCAGGACACUGAGAUACCCACAGGAAAAAGAGAUUUCUGUCUCUGCUGGUGAGGUUGUGAGGAAACGGGCACCCUCCACAUUUUUGGGGAACAUUGAUAAACCCCUCUUAGAGGCAUUUUGACAGUAUCUGUCAAAUUUCCAUAUGCAUUUACCCUUGAAUCCAGGGAAAUCCCAUUCAGUUUGGACUCAAUCUGGAAGUUAUUUCUUCCCAAAAGGAACUGAACUGGAUGUAAACCUCACUGAAAGCCUCAGUAUGGGCAGAGCACAGAGAUCCUGCUCAGAGAUUGACAUGGAGCUGUGAAUGUGGAAAAGGUGCCGACCAUAAGCAGGAAGGUGCUGGUGGCGGGCUCAGCACAAAGUAUUCAAGGGACGCUAACCCCCAUAGCCGUUUCUGGGGAGAUGUCUUUGUAAAAUCUGAACUUCAAGCAAUUGCAGGUACAGAUUUUGACUCUUAAAUGACUUGUGAGGAAGCAGUGGUUUCUGGGCACACUGGUGUGUGGCAGGAACAGAGUGUUCCGUGCAGAGGAUCAGUAAAGCCCAGGUGAUCUGAGAAGUGAAAUCCAGUUGAGAACAGAAACAUUCCCUAAGAAUUCCCACCGCUUCUUGAAUAAAGCGACAUUGGAAUAUGACUCCAAACUGCCUCUAGGCAGUGUUUGUAGUAGUAUUAGAUGCAGGUGUAUUAGUGAACGGCAUGCAUUUUCUUUCAUACUCUGAUUCAGAUUCAGUUUGCAUUGUUUUCAUAAAGCCGCAUGCUGAAGAGCCCCCCAGUGUUGUUAUGAAUAAUGACCAGGGCUGGGGGGCCCGAAACACGGCUGCCUGAAUGAGGUGACUGGCUGGCCCAUGGCCCUGGCAGCGUGCUGCUCAAGUGUCUUGUCUGAUGUGCUACCCUGUUACACUGGCCCUGGGCAAGAAGGAGUGUUCAUCAUCGUGUCUCUGGCCUCACAAGAAAGGAGCGCUUUAUGUUUAGUCUGUUCUGUUCCAGAAGGCAAGGAAGUUUGUAACAUAUUAUAGGAAUAAUUUAAUAUAAUGAAUACUUUUUAAGUUUUUAUGCUGUAAAGUGAUGGUUCUCUAACGUUACCAGGCAUCAGAACCACCUGGAGUGCUAUUAGAACACGGAUUGCUGGGCUCCACCCUCAGAGAUUCUGAUUCAGUAGGUCUGGAGGGGGCCCAAGAAUUUGCACGGUAAGCUUCCGUUAUCUGGAACAUCCACGUGUUAUAUUUCUUACUCUUCACGCUGUUGAACUUAAGGUGUUAUUGCCAAGUGACCUGGAAAAUAGAGUGCUCAUUGGAACCGGCCCUCCCUCCUUACAACUGCUUCCCCAAAGGCUUCUGGGCCACUUUUCUGUACUUCCUCCAUUCUCUACCAAUACUCACCUCCAAAUUGGAAUCUGAAAUGGGGAUUUCACUCUUUUCUGUUAUUAUCUUCUCUCUUUCCUCCAGUUCCUGGUGCUAGUAUAUGUAAAGGAAUAGUGACUAAUACAUGGCAGUAUAUAAAUAAGCAGUUGUGUUUAGGAGUUCAAAAAAAGGGGUAAUUAAGAAAGACCCAUGGUGAACGUGAAGUAUAAGCUCAACCUUGAUGGAUGGUGUUUGACUAGGCAGACAGGAGGCAGCGGACAUUUCAGACCAAGGCAGCAUCUUGGGCAAAGGCCCAGAAGCAGGACAAGCAGAGAGUAAGGCCUGAGAGGGGGGUGUGCUGGAGAGAACUAAGAAGGAAGAUCGAAUGGGUAGGCUGGGGCUGGAGAGCCAGCAGAGUUCACAGUUGCUUUAGUGAGACGGGAAGCAUGGAAGGUUGUGUAGUGGCUAAAGGCCUGUGUCAAGCAGAUUAGUUAGGCAGUGAGUGUGCAGGACGGCUUGAGAGUGGAGGCCACCCGGCAAGCUGUUCUGGAAAUGCAGACCUGUGCAAGCCAGCGCUGGGCUGCUGCUUAUCACCUGAAAUGUCUCAUUCGCAGCCUAAGGCAUUGUAGAUGUCACCUCAGUGUGUCUGGGCAAGUGGGGCCACGGCAUGUUCUGCUCACCUUCUUGUAUUUUAACUUUCUAAAAAUCAUUUCCACUUACUUUCAAUAUUUUCUGUGCAGUUGUUCAGACUUAUUUUAGACAAAGCCUUAUCUUCUCAAGCUUAAAACUCUACUCUUUCUUUCACAAUAUUGGUUAUUACUUCCCAACUAACCUUUAAUUUCCUUGUACCUCCUCCCUUUCUCAUCCUCAAAGCCUUUUCUUUCCUGCCUCAGUAACCUUUUCUCCUUAUUUGUCAAUCUAAAGCUAAAUUAUCUUUACAUUCUUUUUCCACCUGGCUUAAUUUGGAGGUAAGCACUUUCUUUUGCCUAAUGCUCAAACUCACUAAAAUAUAUGGUGACAUGAUUUUUUUCAUCCAAUGUUGCUUCCACUUAAUUUAUGUCAUAGAUGAUUCAUAGAUCAUCUCAAAACAAAGAUGGGAUAUUUUCCUUAUUUGAAUAAGGGAGUAUGAGCACUGUCCCCUCUGUUAUAUGUGUAACCACAUUUCCCUAGGUUGUACUGGGGACACAGCAGCAUGUGGCUCAGUCUCCACCAGCAAAGAUGGAGAUCCCAGGCCUGAGCUCCUUCGCAGCAGCCUGAAGGUGGCUGCUUCAGAGGGGGUCUUCCUGGCUCCCAACACCCUCAUUUACCCUCUUCAUGUCAGCCCUGUGGUUUCCGCUACCCUGACAUCCCCCUCAUUCCCAACACAGGCAUGUACAUGGUUGCUCCUUAAUUCCAUUCUUUUUUGUUUGUUUGCUAAAGAGGAUUCUCCCUGAGCCAACAUCUGUUCCAAUCUUCUUCUAUUUUGUAUGUGGAUCGCCACCACAGCUGAUGAGUGGUGUAGGUCCGUGCCAGGAACAGAACCCAGGCUGCCGAAGUGGAACACGCCAAACUUAACCGCUAGGCCAUGGGGCUGGCCCCCUUAAUUCCAUUCUUAAUAGCUGUCAAGCCACCUCUCUCCUGGCUUACCUUCUUCCUGGGCCCCAAAGCAGAUGUACUUUAUGCUCUGUGGUUACAGGAGCUGUAAUAAACUGCCCCUUUCCAGCAACACAGCAUGGGCCCGGAAGCUGGGCUGAGCUGCAAGCACAGGAAUACCUCACUGGGCUGCCUCAUAGCCAUCCUCCCUUUGCUCUCCUCCAAUAAACUCAGAUCAAGCAAGUGCACCUCAACUCUCCUCUCAGAGAACAAACAGAAUCAUGAAUUACAUUGCAAGAUUUAUAUAGCUGAUUCAUAAACUUCAGGAAGUUUUAUCAUGGUUCCAAAACUACAAAAUUUUGUCUUUGGAUAAUUUGGAAAUGAUGCUGAGGUACAUUUCUCCACCCCUCCUGCUUCUUACCUCACUCCGUAGAUGCUACGCACGUGGCCUCAAUGUGUCAAGGAGUGGGGUUCCUGAGGUUCUCAUUCAAAUCAGGUACAGCUCUGUCAGCACCCCAGAGACCUUCAAAAUGUCUAAAUUUCCAAUGUACAUAAAUUAGGUCCUAUUCAUUCAUUCAAAAUGUAUUUUUUGAGCAUCUACUCUGUGCCAGGCAUGAUUCUUAGCCCUUGGGUGAUAGCAGUGGAGACAUACAAAAUCUCUGCUCUCAGAGAAUGUAUGUAUAAACAAACAAUUUCAGAUAGUGAUAACUGCCAUGAAGAAAAUAAUACAGGUAAUGUGAUAGACAGUGGUGGGGACGGUGAGGGAGACUUCUGAAGGGGCGACAUUGAUCUGAGAGCUUUGUAGUAAGAGAGGCAGCCAUGAGAAGCCCUUGGCAAAGAAUACUCCAAGCGGAUGGAGGAUUGAGUGUAAAGACCUGAGUUGGAAGUGGGAGGGCCAGUGAGCCUGGAAUGUAAUGUAAGUGGAGGAUGGGAAGUGAAGGGAGUCAUGUAGGGUGAGACGGGAGAGGCAGGUAGGAGUCACGUCCUAUAGGCCUUGUUGGCCUGGGGAAGAAGAUUGGAUUUUCUCUGGGUACUAUAGGAAGCCAUUGCAGAGUUUUAACUAGUGGAAGAUCGUGGUCUGAUGUAAGGUUUUUUUUUUCUUAUUAGUGUUUUUUAAUAUUCAUGUAACAUAAAUGUUACUGUUUUAAGUGUACAACUCAUUGGUUUUAGCAUGUUGUAAUGAGUGUGACCAUUAGCACUAAUUCCAGAACCUUUCCAUCAUCCCCAAAAGAAAUCCUGUACUUGUUAGCAGUUAUUCCCUUUGACUCUUUCCCUGGCCCUUGGCAAACAAUAAUCUGCUUCGGUCUCAAGAGAUUUGCCUAUUCUGGACAUUUCAUGUAAGUGGAAUCCUACAGCUUAUGUGUCUGGCUUCUUUCAGGUAGCGUAAAGUUUUAAGGCCAUCCAUGUUGUAGCAUGUAGCAGGACUUCAUUCCUUUUUACAGCAGAAUAAGUUUCCAUUGUAUGUGUAUACCACAUUUUGUUUAUCCAUUCAUCUGUUAAUGGACAUUUGGGCUGUUUCACUUUUUGGCUAUUAUGAAUAAAGCUGCUAUGAACAUUUGUGUACAAACUUUUGUAUGAAUAUGUGCUUUUAUUUCUCUUGGGUAUAUACCUAGGAGUAGAAUUGCUAGGUCAUAUGUUAACUCUAUGUUUAGCUUUUUGAAGGCCUGCCACAUCCUUGUCCAAAGUGGCUGCAUCACUUCACAUUCCCACCAGCAGUGUAUGAGAGUUCUGGUUCCUCCACAUCCUCACCAACACUUAGUAUCUGGUUUUGUGAUGGCAGUUAUCCUAGUGGAUGUGAAGAGAUAUCUCAUUGAGGUUUUGAUUUGCAUUUCCCUAAUGACUAAUGAUGUUGAAAGUCAUUUCAUGUGCUUAUUGGCUAUUUGUAUAUCUUCCUUGGGGAAAUGUCUAUCCAUGUCCUUUGCCCAUUUUAAAAUUGGGUUAUUUGUCUUUUUAUUGUUGAGUUGUAAGAGUUCUUUAUAUAGUCAGGAUACUUGGCUCUUAUCAGGUAUGAUUUGGAAAAACUUUCUCCCAUUCUAUGAGUUGUCUUUUCACUUUCUUGAUAUGUCCUUUGACCCUAGAUAAGUGUUAAAAAAAAUCAUUCUGGCAGCCAUGUGGAAGAUGGAGUCGUGAGGGGCAAGAAUGGUUGCAGGGAGAUUAGUUAGGAAGUAUUGCAGUGACUGAGGCUAGAGAUGAUGAUGGCUUGGAUGGUAGACAAGGUUCUGGCUUUAAAUUAUUGCCAGCUCUAGGUAGGCAGUGUUAGAUCAGCUGUUUCAAAUUUUAUUCCACUUUAAAUGUUUUGAAACCAAGAGAGAAAAUUGUGACACAAUUAACAUUUAUGUGGCUUGUCCAUAGACUCGAGAGUCAGCUCUACCAUGUGGUCUCAAGUGGCUCUGGAUUUGUUACACAAGUUCUGACUAAGGCUUUGGAUUUUCGAGACCCAAUUGCAAAUCUCACCCAUAAAAAGUUGGUAAAUUUUAUUAAUAAACUCAUACACAGGAGUGGAAGCUCUCAAGAUAAAGAGAAUAUGCCAUUUUCUUGGGUUGAGGUAAAAAAACAACUCAAAGGCGUGUGCCUGGAUCCUCCUCAUUGAUGUUUCCUCAGGAAAUCAAGGAGGAAUUGGGGUGAUCUGAAAGUUUGCUUCAGUCUGACUAUAAGAGCAAAGGAUGUGGAAGAAUGAAAACAAAAUAAAGGGAGACGAGAUGAUUAGGCGGAGGGAGAGUAGACUUUUCUUAGGAAACUGUCCUAGUCUGUUUAGGCUGCUGUAACGGAAUACUACCGACUGAGUGGCUUAUAAACAAUAGAAAUUUAUUUCUCACAGAUCUGGAAGCCAGGAAGUUCAGGAUCAAGGUGCUGACAGAUUUGAUGUCUGAUAAGAGCCCAUUUCCUUGUUCCUAGACAGCUUUCUUCUCACUGUGACCUCACAUGGUGGAAUUCCAUUCAUGAGAUUGACCCAAUGAGAGCUCCACCCUCAUGACCUAGUCAACCUCCCAAAAGCCCUCCUCCCAAACACCAUCUUGCUGAGUGCUAGGAUUUAACAUGAAUCUGGGGAGGACACAAACACUGAGUGUAUAGGAGAAACAGAAUGAGCGCUUUGUGGAGAGACUAGACAUAGAAAGAUCUGCAUAAGCUCUUGGAGACAAGUUGGGAUAUAUGCAAAUGGAGUAGGAGGUAUACUCAGGUUUAAUUGUUCAUAAAGAGGGUAUUAGAAAAGAUCAAAAUGUUUUAAUUAUUACUAGUUCAGGAGUAGUGACUGCACCCAUUAAAAAACAAAUGAGAAGAGAUAAGCCCACUGACUGAAGUCAUCGCCUCUGCCCGCAAGAAGCCAGAUCCAGGAAUGAACUGAGAGGCUUCUCUGAAAGGAGCAGAUGAAGAAUCCACAGGGCUCUCUUCCACAAAGUGUCUCAAGUGACUGGGAGGAUAGAGGAUGCAGCACCGUGAAGCUGCGUCGUCCGGAACACAAGGCCACCCCUGGUUGCUGCAGUGCAGAGAGCUGCAGGUCACGCAGCAGCUGUUAAAGGCUUUGCCUGGAAAUCACCUUCAUGACUCUGACAUUUACCGGAUGAAAGGUCCAAAAUGCUGUAAUUGUACAAUUUAAAGGAAAAGGAAAAAGCUCUCCCGGCAGUUUCUACUUAUCCUGCUCAGUAGAUGGCACACAACUGAGCUGCUGCUGCACUGCCAUUCUUUCGUUAUUCGGUAAACUAUGAAUUCAGAACUUCUCCUUUCCCUCUCAUCUCCCCAGAGUGGCACUGAAGUUUAGGAGACAUGAUGUGAAGCGUCAGGUCUUUGGCCAUCAGCGCCCCUCUAGGCUGGCGUUCACUGCUGUGUCCACAUUCCCAUCGACUCGGAUCAUCAGUCCUGCACUUGCAGCGGCCUAUUCUGAUGGUGACGAUUCUUCCUGAGCCACGUCCUCACUCCUCUUAGGGACUGGGGAACUGUUGGAUGUUCCCCUGUGCCACUCUGGAGACUUGGGGGGAUGUGGCAGACGUGGGGCGCUGUCCUAGACGCAUCUAGUUGCCACUUCUACCCUCCCCUGUUCACCCUGGCCCCACCUGAGACGUGAGCACAGGUUCCUGUGCUCUCAGAUCCCCAAAACUCCCUGGACAUUCUAUGAGUCAUUGUGACUCCUCGCCGACCCCCCACCCUGGCACCCCAGCUGUAUCUUGGAGCCACUGUCGCUCUCUUAUUUGACCUCUCUCUUCAGCUUGGAGAAUUAUCUAACGCUAUGCUGUCCAACACAGUAGCCACUAGUCACAUGAGGCUACUGAGCUCUUAAAAUGUGGUUAGGCCAAAAUGAGAUGCACUGAAACUGAAAAUGCACACCAACUUCAGACUUAGUAUGAAGAAAAGAUUAUAAUAUCUCAUUAAUAAUUUUUAUAUAGUUUACACAUUGAAAUGAUAAUACUUUGGAUAUGUUGACUUAAAUAAAGUUAGUGUUACA